AGAUACCCUAUUAUUUUAAGCUAUAUAUUGGUAGUAAUUAAUAAUUUAUGAAAUCAUAAGAUUUUGGCGGUAUUUUAAGCUUAUUAGAGGAAUUUGCUCUGUAAUGGAUACAACGCCUUAAUCUUACUUAAUUUGGUUUUAAAGUCAGUUUGUAUACCACUAUAUUUAAUUAUAUUGAAUAAUUAUAUUUAAGAUUUUUUUUUUAUAAAAAAUAUAUUAAGUCAAGGUGCAAUUUAUAAUUAUGAAUGAAGUGAAUUACAUUAAUUUUAAUUUUACUUAAAUAUUGAAAAAAAAUUAUAGGAUUUAAUAGUAAAA
This 315-nucleotide ribosomal RNA is filed under the name Ixodes affinis. RNAcentral describes it as "partial 12S ribosomal RNA". Lineage: Eukaryota; Metazoa; Arthropoda; Arachnida; Ixodida; Ixodidae. The record is from RNAcentral.